CGCAACACUUUGUUGUCUUUGUCUGUGUACUUGCAAUGCUUCAUGACCAGUUCUCUCUCCUGCGGGUUUUCCUCCGCCUGUUCUGUGCCGCCACAUCCUUCACCUGCACUGCGCAGGUCUAUCAAAAGGUGAGGGGACCAUAAACAUAUGGGCAGAACCUGGUCGUUGUGAAAGGGUAGUGUUUAUUGGCAACCAGAGGUAAACAGGCAGGUAACAACAAACAAAAGGAGGGUGGAUGAGGGUGCUGUGAAAAGACAAACCAAGUUAAAUAAAAGAGAUCCCCAAAAGGAGGACUAUGCCUGAAUAUACAUUUAGACAAACAGUAGGCGCUUACCAAAAAAACACAAAGAGCACAGCACCCUUUAGCUAACAGGCACAAAAACUACGUGUGGUGAAUCAGUAUUGACUCUUGCCCUAACUCACCCCUUUUGCCAGCCCCGUGCUGGUAAAAACACACAAGAACCAAAAGACAGUACUUGACUCAGUUGCACACAAAUACACACACAGAAGGCACACAAGUCACAGAGCUCCACCGAAACCAGGAAGUAGGCGGGGGCUUCAGUCCACAGGGCCGCACAGCCUACUUGGUACAGGCAAAGACAAGACAGAAAUACAGACCACCGGUGACAGCCGUGACACUUAGUAACGAGGGGAACGGUGGCCGAGACGGUUUAACGCCGUCUCUCACGAUGCGGCGUGUGAACUAUAGUUGAAAUGCGUGUGUCUCACGGUCAUCAAUGCGUGAGGCUUCAGAACCUGCAAUGAGUUUAUUACGUUAGACGUGUUUGGAGAAACCUGUAACGGAGCGUCUCAUCCACUGAGGAAACGCUGCCUGCCGUCGCCAGAGAACAGAGCAGAAAGCAAUGGGAGGAGGUGAGUCUUGACAUGUCAUCAUUUCAGCUCCUAAAUGUUUAAUCCUUUGCAAAACUGAUUCAAAAUUGUAAUUAUUCCAACAUUAAAAAAAAGAAAAGGCGCAUUAACAUAUGUAACUUUCUCUUUAGCAUUUUCUAGUGAGCCAUGGAGGGAAGUGACAAA
Molecule: long non-coding RNA, 1035 nt
Organism: Gasterosteus aculeatus aculeatus (three-spined stickleback)
Lineage: Eukaryota; Metazoa; Chordata; Actinopteri; Perciformes; Gasterosteidae
Source: Ensembl